AAACCAAAUCUUCAAAAAAACAUCGAUAUGAAUCACUCCCACGUGAAGAAACCCGUGGGGAAAAGUGAAUGUAUUAUCAGUAAGGAAUGGCGAAAUAAUUAGUUGGGAGACAUUUCCAGGGCCCACAUAGGGUGUUCUGACAGUGUAGAAGAUACAUUAUACAAGUGGAGUUUAAUUCUCUAUGCAAGCGGUAAAAGGUUUGCAAAUGAACGUUGAUUAAAGAAGGAGUACGAAAAAACAGGACGUUUGCAGUCUAAUUCCAACGAACAGUGCUUCAUAAUGUUAACUCAACUGUGUCAGGACCGUAGACUUGAUGAGACUUGAGUCAAGUUGAGGACAGACUUCGAGGAUGAGCAAGCAUUCAUUUACCUAUGAAAGUUUAGGUAUCAUUUUUUAAAAGCAGUUCCAUUUUGUGUUAGAGUAUGCAUUCUGGAUUGAAGGAAUGUUCUUUAUAGGAUUGCAUUAGUUAUACUCAUGCUACAUGAAGUAUUCACCAAGAAGAAAAGGUGGAGAACAAAAACAUGAGAGAACAGAAAGCAGCAUGAAAAUUGGGUGACUUGUUGUGGUAAUAUUAAAAGUUUUGAAAUAAAUUUUCUCACAACAAAGUUUA
This is a long non-coding RNA of Xenia sp. Carnegie-2017, 610 nucleotides long. RefSeq lists it as uncharacterized. The transcript has 2 exons. The record is from RefSeq and is a predicted model, not a curated record. NCBI's taxonomy places the organism in Eukaryota, Metazoa, Cnidaria, Anthozoa, Malacalcyonacea, Xeniidae.